GACCCCAGGUCAGGCGGGGUCACCCGCUGAGUUUAAGCAUAUCAAUAAGCGGAGGAGAAGAAACUUACAAGGAUUCCCUUAGUAACGGCGAGCGAACCGGGAACAGCCCAGCAUGAGAAUCGGAUGGCACUCGCUGUUCGA
RNAcentral lists this ribosomal RNA (141 nucleotides) under Illicium micranthum. RNAcentral describes it as "partial 26S ribosomal RNA". It matches the Rfam family "Eukaryotic large subunit ribosomal RNA", at positions 1 to 141 of the family's 3401-position model. Lineage: Eukaryota; Viridiplantae; Streptophyta; Magnoliopsida; Austrobaileyales; Schisandraceae. RNAcentral also lists the same sequence under 2 other names. The record is from RNAcentral.